UUCAUCAACCUUUUUAUCUUUAUUUUCUUUUCUUCAUCUCUUUCCUUCCUUUCAAAGUUGCCACUCACUCCACAACACUUCUCACCUGUCCCACUUAUUACCGCCAUCCUUACCUGGAGUGUUUCUCAGCAGCAAGUAAUUUCUUUUCUCUUAAACCUGCUGUUCUUAUUCUUUUUCUUAGAUGUUUUGCUAAUAUUUCACGUUUUCUAUGAGAUUCAGACCUUAGCCGGAAACUUCUUAACUUGUGUCACGUGGGAAAAGUCGUGUGUUUCUUUUUUUAACUUGUAGUAGAAGAAGAGGGGGAAAAAAGUUGCUUGUAUUGUUUUUGUGUAAAGUGUUUGAGUUGCUUGUUUGUCUUGUGUUUAAAUUGUUUUUGUUUUCUUAUUUAUUUAUGUAUUUAUUUAUUUAUUUAUUUAUUUAUUUAUUUAUUUAUUUUAUUUAUUUUUUUGUCUAGUAUUGAAAUCUUUUUUAUUCUUAUUUAUGUAUUCAUUUAUUUAUUUUGUCCAAAGUGUCUAAAUUGUUUAUGUGUCUGUCUGUGUGUCUGUCUGGUGUUGAAAUUGCCUGUUUUUUUAAUUCUUAUUUAUUCAUUUUUUAUUUGUUUAAAGUGUCGAAAUUGUCUGUUUGUUUGUUUGUCUGGUGGCUAAAUUGUCUUUUUUUUUUUUUGUUCUUAUUUAUUUAUUGAUCUUUUCUAUUUACUUAUUUUUUCUAGAAGUCUCAAAGUUGUAUGUUUCGUGUUUGCCUGAAAUGUGCUUUGUGAUAUUUUUAUUAUUUUAUUUUAUUUUUUCCUAACCUAACCUAACUUAACCUAAUCUAACCUAAAAUGUUUUACGUCCUGAAAAAAAAAGUUGUCUGGUUUUAAUUCCCUGUGUGUCUGUGUAGCUUGGUUUGUCAUUCUUUUUCCUCUUAAGGGAUCGAGAAGUGUUCGUUUUCUUUCUUUCUUCUUUUUUCUUCUCAUGCCUUCUGCGAGUUGCCUUUCCGUUUUCUUUGUUUUUUCUUUUUUUCUUCUCAUGCCUUCUGCGAGUUGCCUUUCCGUUUUCUUUCUUUUUUCUUUUUUUCUUCUCAUGCCUUCUGCGAGUUGCCUUUCCUCCGAUAUUUGUUAUUUAGAGUUUUCAUUUCUCUUUGUUAACGCUGCUUGCUUUCUCUGAUUCUCUUCCGUGUUUAUUUAUCGUAAUUUAUCGCCAUUUUCCCCUUAAUGUGGAAAGUACGUGUUUUUUUAUAUAUAUAUAUUUUUUAUUUUUUUCGUUUCCGCUGUGCAUUUUCCUUUCCUCCUAUAUUUAUUUUCUUUUUUUAAGUUUCAAGAAAAAUUCAAUGUUUUUCUGUCCCUUGUGAACGCUGCUUGGUUCGUCUGCUUCUCUUUCGUGUCAAUGUCAGUUUGUCACACUAUUAAGGUUUAGAAAAGUCUCGUUUUAUAUAAUUUUUCGUGUCCUCUUUACGUUUCCUCUCUUCUGACAUUUCUCUUUUUUUGAAGCUUUAGGGAAAAGUCGGAGUGUUCGUGUGCUUUGUGUACGGUGGUUGCCUUCUCUGUCAUUUUUCUUCCCUUGCCUAAGCCUAUAGAACCUGCAGCCUUUGUGUUAGUGUCUGACCCGUCAUCGAAACCCUUUACUAUGGGUAUUACGACACUUCUGCCUAACAACACGACUUUCAUUUGAUAGUACGACAGCUUCCCUUAACGGUAGAGCACUGACGAUAGUACGACAGUUUUACCAGAUAGUACGACAUAUUUGCUUAAUAGUACGACGUGUAUUUGAUGGUACGACACUUUUGCUUGAUAGUACGACAGUUUUACCAGAUAGUACGACACUUUUGCUUUAUAGUACGGCACUCAUUUGAUAGUACGACACUUUUGCUUGAUGGUAUGGCACUUUUGCUUGAUAGUACGACACUUUUACUUCAUAGUACGACAGUUUUGCUAGUUCGACAGUUUUACACCAUAGUGCAGCACUCUUAACUUCGCUGGAGUAACCCUGAAGACUUUGAGCAAGAAAUACAACUAGCACUAAAAUCUACCAGCUUUUUUAUCACUUAACAAUUACAAAUGUCUUUCUUAUACACCAAACACUACGUACAUUACUUCAUUAACCCUUUAACUGCCAUUACACACACCUUUCCUUCAUCACUAACCACUUUGAGACUCGUUCCCUUGCUUGAUACCCACCUCCAAACAUUUUAUUGGCUAGAAAUUGUAAAAUCUAUUCGUUCUUUUAUCCCGUCUCUUUCUUGUAGAUGUUCGUUAAAGACUGAUGUUGCUUUUAGUGCUGUGAAUUGUUGCUCGUCGUAGAGAAAGGGUUAAACUUCUAGUAAAGUAUCCCUAAGUUGAGAAUUUUGUUGACCUUUCUUUUGGGCCUUUUUUUCUCUCUCUCUUUCUCUCUUUUUGUUGUUCUUGGCCAGUCUCUCUCUUACAUAAAUAAGUAAACGAAACAAAAUUCCUUAUUAGUCAUGGAUUAUCAGCUCUUGUUGUAGUGAUAGUAACAGUAGAUGGUCUCCUCGCCCCGUCCCCCUCACAGCAUGUCGGCCCCGUGGUAGGCAGCGAGGCACUAUUGGCGUGGCACCAGGCAGGCACCCUUUGGCACUCCAGCGUGUGAAUACAGUGCCCGCAUACCCGUGACUUGUCGUGCGCCUCUACACCUACUCUCUCUCUCUCUCUCUCUCUCUCUCUCUCUCUCUCUCUCUCUCUCUCUCUCUCCUUGUUCUUAACUUUUACAUUUACGUACACGCGUGCAAGUGAGGAAGGACACAAGACUCACGUACAUACACGGACACACACUGUACGUACACGCCUCUACGCACACGCCUCCUCCACUCCAGGGAUGCUGCCUCGCCCACACCUGCUGCUGGAAAGGCGUGAACGUGUGUCAAGAAGGAACAACAACAACAACAACAACAACAACAACAACAACAACAGCAAUAUCAACAACGACAACAAACAAGCAACUUAGAAAAACGCAAUCACCUUUCACCUUCUUUCAGUGCUAACAGCUUGGAUUAACAGUGACAACAAAGGAAUACCCAUAAAAUAAAACAUAAAAACUAAGAUAAUCAGAAAAAAAACAAGGAUAUGAUUUAAAAUUACAGACUAGUAUGACAGAAUUAAAAGAUAAUUUAAAAGUAUUCGGUUAAUUUGUUUAUAGACCGAAACGUGUGAUUUGUGCGGAAAAUAAUAGAUAAAAAAGGAAAUUCACAACAUUUACUUAAAAUUUCUUGACGUGAGAAAGUAACACCAUUAAAUCUUGAGUGACUCGUGACAGAACAACAGGACAACAACACUCCCGGGCCACAUGCCUCGCCGGGACGCAGCACGCAGCCCCCCGAGCACCAGCAAGGCGAGGCGAGGCAGGAGACAGAAAGACUAACACUAAACGAAACAUUACACUCACGCCCCGCAGAGUUUCACCCGGGAUGGAGGAGGAGGAAGCCACACCCACCCCGCCCACUGACCCCAUCCCGCCCCGCCCCACCCUUUCCCCCCGUGGGCCGUCCCCCCAAGCUCGCCCCGUGUCCCCCCGCCGCUCUCGGACUGUUGAUGACGCUAAGGACCUCCGCUUCUCCAACAUCAAGGCCAUCAGGACAGGAGACCACACCCGCAUCAUUAUUAAAGGUACGGAGAGUUUAAGUGAUCUUGAUCUUGAUUCGCUGGUCUGUUUUUGCUUUUCUUGUUU
Long non-coding RNA from Scylla paramamosain (green mud crab), 3656 nucleotides. RefSeq lists it as uncharacterized. NCBI's taxonomy places the organism in Eukaryota, Metazoa, Arthropoda, Malacostraca, Decapoda, Portunidae. The record is from RefSeq and is a predicted model, not a curated record. The transcript is spliced from 2 exons.